This 240-nucleotide ribosomal RNA is filed under the name uncultured bacterium. Its description in RNAcentral is "partial 16S ribosomal RNA". It matches the Rfam family "Bacterial small subunit ribosomal RNA", at positions 15 to 236 of the family's 1533-position model. The record is from RNAcentral.
GAUCCUGGCUCAGGAUGAACGCUGGCGGCGUGCUUAACACAUGCAAGUCGAACGAAGCACUUUAUUACAAUUUCUUCGGAAUGACGAUUUAGUGACUGAGUGGCGGACGGGUGAGUAACGCGUGGGUAACCUGCCUUAUACAGGGGGAUAACAGUUAGAAAUGACUGCCAAUACCGCAUAAGCGCACAGGAUUGCAUGAUCUGGUGUGAAAAACUCCGGUGGUAUAAGAUGGACCCGCGU